Molecule: microRNA precursor, 89 nt
Filed under: Paramuricea clavata
Lineage: Eukaryota; Metazoa; Cnidaria; Anthozoa; Malacalcyonacea; Plexauridae
Source: RNAcentral
CAAGUAUCGUAAACAGAAGCAGUCACCCCCUGGAAAUAUUCAAAAUGGCACAUGUCCAGGGGGGUUACUGCUUCUGUUUACGGUACUUG